This 815-nucleotide ribosomal RNA is filed under the name Fusiconidium aquaticum. RNAcentral describes it as "bacterial SSU rRNA". The stretch from base 1 to 469 matches the Rfam family "Eukaryotic small subunit ribosomal RNA", at positions 110 to 595 of the family's 1831-position model. Lineage: Eukaryota; Fungi; Ascomycota; Dothideomycetes; Pleosporales; Melanommataceae. The record is from RNAcentral.
UUAUCGUUUAUUUGAUAGUACCUUACCACUUGGAUAACCGUGGUAAUUCUAGAGCUAAUACAUGCUAAAAACCCCAACUUCGGAAGGGGUGUGUUUAUUAGAUAAAAAACCAAUGCCCUUCGGGGCUCUUUGGUGAUUCAUGAUAACCUAACGGAUCGCAUGGCCUUGCGCCGGCGACGGUUCAUUCAAAUUUCUGCCCUAUCAACUUUCGAUGGUAAGGUAUUGGCUUACCAUGGUUUCAACGGGUAACGGGGAAUUAGGGUUCGAUUCCGGAGAGGGAGCCUGAGAAACGGCUACCACAUCCAAGGAAGGCAGCAGGCGCGCAAAUUACCCAAUCCCGACACGGGGAGGUAGUGACAAUAAAUACUGAUACAGGGCUCUUUUGGGUCUUGUAAUUGGAAUGAGUACAAUUUAAACCCCUUAACGAGGAACAAUUGGAGGGCAAGUCUGGUGGACAUUCAGCUCCCAUUCUGCUGACGCCAGAGAUAGUCGGGCACCUCUACGAGGUGUUAUGCCGGCUAGUCGAUGUACCCGAUCAUUUGAUGGGGGGGUACCGGCAAGACAACCUGGAUCGGGGAAGGCUAAGGCAUCGAACGAGAUGCUAUGCUAAUCCCGAGCAGAGCUGCCACGGAGCGAUCUGUGAACAGCCUGUGUAGAGCACGCUAAGGUGUCGGCCAGCUCACGUAGUUGGCUUAAGGGACGUGCCAUUCCCAUCCGAAAGGGUGGCUACCAGCAAUAGCGCCCAUCACGCGAAGGUUGGUAGGUUCGAACAUUUCCAGGGCUUUGCACCUGCCUAAUGUUUGAAGUUAAAAAUA